This 434-nucleotide long non-coding RNA is filed under the name Equus caballus (horse). RNAcentral's name for it is "lncRNA (ENSECAG00000044364.1)". The record is from RNAcentral. Lineage: Eukaryota; Metazoa; Chordata; Mammalia; Perissodactyla; Equidae.
CACCCUCGCGCGCACGCCCGCGCCCGGCACACGCCCGCGGCUGGCACACGCUGGCUCCCCCGCGCACCCUCACUGGGGCUGGCCGGCUCGGGGCCGCUCGCACUGUCACGCGCCUACACACAUCACCCCCGCACCCGCAUGCCGGGCAGGGUCCUCGCCUCUUCGCCCCGCGCCGCGCCACGCAGCCAAGCAUCGUCUGCCCGGCUGGGGCGCAGGUACCGGGGGCGGUGGGGGGAGGAGAGAGAGAGGGAGCAGCCAUUUGAACUCGGAGUGGGAGAACAGGCUUCCCUGAGCCACAGAGCCCUGUUCACGCCACUCGAGGCAAGAAGACACCUCCUCAGAAAGAGGGUGGACCGGAAGAAACACACAGAAAGCCCAACAGAUUGUGCUCAGUCUUUCUGGUUCUACCGUAGCAGCGUCAACAAAGCACAAGG